GGAGAGAUGGCUCAGUGGUUAAGAGCACUGUCUGCUCCUCCAGAGGUCCUGAGUUCGAUUCCCAGCAACCACU
This 73-nucleotide transfer RNA is filed under the name Mus musculus (house mouse). RNAcentral's name for it is "tRNA-Ser". Lineage: Eukaryota; Metazoa; Chordata; Mammalia; Rodentia; Muridae. The record is from RNAcentral.